UGCAAGUCGAGCGGAAACGAGUUAUCUGAACCUUCGGGGAACGAUAACGGCGUCGAGCGGCGGACGGGUGAGUAAUGCCUAGGAAAUUGCCCUGGUGUGGGGGAUAACCAUUGGAAACGAUGGCUAAUACCGCAUAAUACCUACGGGUCAAAGAGGGGGACCUUCGGGCCUCUCGCGUCAGGAUAUGCCUAGGUGGGAUUAGCUAGUUGGUGAGGUAAUGGCUCACCAAGGCGACGAUCCCUAGCUGGUCUGAGAGGAUGAUCAGCCACACUGGAACUGAGACACGGUCCAGACUCCUACGGGAGGCAGCAGUGGGGAAUAUUGCACAAUGGGCGCAAGCCUGAUGCAGCCAUGCCGCGUGUGUGAAGAAGGCCUUCGGGUUGUAAAGCACUUUCAGUCGUGAGGAAGGUAGUGUAGUUAAUAGCUGCAUUAUUUGACGUUAGCGACAGAAGAAGCACCGGCUAACUCCGUGCCAGCAGCCGCGGUAAUACGGAGGGUGCGAGCGUUAAUCGGAAUUACUGGGCGUAAAGCGCAUGCAGGUGGUUUGUUAAGUCAGAUGUGAAAGCCCGGGGCUCAACCUCGGAAUAGCAUUUGAAACUGGCAGACUAGAGUACUGUAGAGGGGGGUAGAAUUUCAGGUGUAGCGGUGAAAUGCGUAGAGAUCUGAAGGAAUACCGGUGGCGAAGGCGGCCCCCUGGACAGAUACUGACACUCAGAUGCGAAAGCGUGGGGAGCAAACAGGAUUAGAUACCCUGGUAGUCCACGCCGUAAACGAUGUCUACUUGGAGGUUGUGGCCUUGAGCCGUGGCUUUCGGAGCUAACGCGUUAAGUAGACCGCCUGGGGAGUACGGUCGCAAGAUUAAAACUCAAAUGAAUUGACGGGGGCCCGCACAAGCGGUGGAGCAUGUGGUUUAAUUCGAUGCAACGCGAAGAACCUUACCUACUCUUGACAUCCAGAGAACUUUCCAGAGAUGGAUUGGUGCCUUCGGGAACUCUGAGACAGGUGCUGCAUGGCUGUCGUCAGCUCGUGUUGUGAAAUGUUGGGUUAAGUCCCGCAACGAGCGCAACCC
This 1069-nucleotide ribosomal RNA is filed under the name Vibrio sp. Its description in RNAcentral is "bacterial SSU rRNA". It matches the Rfam family "Bacterial small subunit ribosomal RNA", at positions 56 to 1104 of the family's 1533-position model. The record is from RNAcentral. Lineage: Bacteria; Pseudomonadati; Pseudomonadota; Gammaproteobacteria; Vibrionales; Vibrionaceae.